RNAcentral lists this ribosomal RNA (594 nucleotides) under Mylonchulus sp. st1_42. RNAcentral describes it as "SSU rRNA". It matches the Rfam family "Eukaryotic small subunit ribosomal RNA", at positions 1026 to 1643 of the family's 1831-position model. Lineage: Eukaryota; Metazoa; Nematoda; Enoplea; Mononchida; Mylonchulidae. The record is from RNAcentral.
CUAACCGUAAACUAUGCCAACUAGCGAUCCGUUCGGUGUUAAAUAUUGACUCGACGGGCAGCUUCCGGGAAACCAAAGUUUAUAGGUUCCGGGGGAAGUAUGGUUGCAAAGCUUAAACUUAAAGGAAUUGACGGAAGGGCACCACCAGGAGUGGAGCCUGCGGCUUAAUUUGACUCAACACGGGGAAACUCACCCGGCCAGGACACAAUAAGGAUUGACAGAUUGAUAGCUCUUUCUUGAUUUUGUGGGUGGUGGUGCAUGGCCGUUCUUAGUUGGUGGAGCGAUUUGUCUGGUUAAUUCCGAUAACGAACGAGACUCUAGCCUAUUAAAUAGACGAUAUAUUUUAUUCGUAUAUCGAGCUUCUUAGAGGGACGAGCAGCUUCUAGCUGCACGAGAUUGAGCAAUAACAGGUCUGUGAUGCCCUUAGAUGUCCGGGGCUGCACGCGCGCUACAAUGAAAAUAGCAGCGCGUUUCGAAAACCUUUUCUGGAAAGAAUUGGUAAACGCGAAAUAUUUUCGUGAUAGGGAUAGGGGAUUGCAAUUAUUGCCCUUGAACGAGGAAUUCCCAGUAAAUUCGAGUCAUCAGCUCGAGUUG